This 74-nucleotide transfer RNA is filed under the name Beggiatoa sp. PS. Its description in RNAcentral is "tRNA-Gln". It matches the Rfam family "tRNA". From Rfam's summary of the family: Transfer RNA (tRNA) molecules are approximately 80 nucleotides in length. Their secondary structure includes four short double-helical elements and three loops (D, anti-codon, and T loops). The record is from RNAcentral. Lineage: Bacteria; Pseudomonadati; Pseudomonadota; Gammaproteobacteria; Thiotrichales; Thiotrichaceae.
UGGGAGAUCGUCUAGCGGUAGGACAAUGGACUCUGACUCCAUUAACCCAGGUUCGAAUCCUGGUUUCCCAGCCA